UACGGAGGAUGCGAGCGUUAUCCGGAUUUAUUGGGUUUAAAGGGUGCGUAGGCGGACGCUUAAGUCAGCGGUAAAAUUGCGGGGCUCAACCUCGUCGAGCCGUUGAAACUGGGUGCCUUGAGUGGGCGAGAAGUACGCGGAAUGUGUGGUGUAGCGGUGAAAUGCAUAGAUAUCACGCAGAACUCCGAUUGCGAAGGCAGCGUACCGGCGCCCAACUGACGCUGAAGCACGAAGGCGUGGGUAUCGAACAGG
RNAcentral lists this ribosomal RNA (252 nucleotides) under uncultured bacterium. RNAcentral describes it as "partial 16S ribosomal RNA". It matches the Rfam family "Bacterial small subunit ribosomal RNA", at positions 524 to 776 of the family's 1533-position model. The record is from RNAcentral.